Molecule: long non-coding RNA, 751 nt
Organism: Homo sapiens (human)
Lineage: Eukaryota; Metazoa; Chordata; Mammalia; Primates; Hominidae
Gene: FAM86EP
Product: family with sequence similarity 86, member A pseudogene
Source: Ensembl
AGCAAAGUUAAGAGACUCAUCAGAUUCUGAGCUGCGGCGGGAUAUUUUGCAGAAGACUGUGAAGCAUCCUGUGUGUGUGAAGCACCCGCCGUCAGUCAAGUAUGCCCGGUGCUUUCUCUCAGAACUCAUGAAAAAGCCCUCGGGAGGCUCGGUCACACUCUCCAAGAGCACAGCCAUCAUCUCCCACGGCACCACAGGCCUGGUCACAUGGGACGCUGCCCUCUACCUUGCAGAAUGGGCCGAGAACCCAGCAGCCUUCACUCACAGGACUGUCCUAAAGCUUGGCAGUGGCGCCGGCCUCACAGGCCUGGCCAUCUGCAAGAUGUGCCGCCCCCGGGCGUACAUCUUCAGCGACUGUCACAGCCGGGUCCUCGAGCAGCUCCGAGGGAAUGUCCUUCUCAAUGGCCUCUCAUUAGAGGCAGACAUCACUGCCAACUUAGACGGCCCCAGGGUGACAGUGGCCCAGCUGGACUGGGACGUCGCGACGGUCUGUCAGCUCUCUGCCGUCCAGCCAGAUGUUGUCAUUGCAGCAGGUAAUGCCCAGCCCCGGGCAUCCUGUGCAGGCGGUGUCCUUGCAGCUCUACCCAGCUCUUGGCUCUGGGAAAAGGGAACAAUGGAUGCUGUCAGGCAUGGACAUGAUGGGGCUUCCAGAAGAGUUACUCUGGGCCUCCAGGCUGACAUCAAAGGACAGGGGUGCCUCUUAAGGUGACCUUCAAGCCACAGCCCUCUUGCUGGAGACAGGCAUACUCCC